AUCUACCUAGUAGUACGGAAUAAUUGUUGGAAACGGCAACUAAUACCGUAUACGCCCUACGGGGGAAAAAUUUAUUGCUAUUAGAUGAGCCUAUAUUAGAUUAGCUAGUUGGUGGAGUAAUAGCCUACCAAGGCAAUGAUCUAUAGCUGAUCUGAGAGGAUGAUCAGCCACACUGGAACUGAGAUACGGUCCAGACUCCUACGGGAGGCAGCAGUGGGGAAUAUUGGACAAUGGGCGAAAGCCUGAUCCAGCCAUGCCGCAUGAGUGAAGAAGGCCUUUGGGUUGUAAAGCUCUUUUAGUGAGGAAGAUAAUGACGGUACUCACAGAGAAGUCCUGGCUAACUCCGUGCCAGCAGCCGCGGUAAUACGGAGAGGGCUAGCGUUAUUCGGAAUUAUUGGGCGUAAAGGGCGCGUAGGCUGGUUAAUAAGUUAAAAGUGAAAUCCCGAGGCUUAACCUUGGAAUUGCUUUUAAAACUAUUAAUCUAG
This 485-nucleotide ribosomal RNA is filed under the name Wolbachia endosymbiont of Aedes albopictus. RNAcentral describes it as "bacterial SSU rRNA". It matches the Rfam family "Bacterial small subunit ribosomal RNA", at positions 124 to 644 of the family's 1533-position model. The record is from RNAcentral. Lineage: Bacteria; Pseudomonadati; Pseudomonadota; Alphaproteobacteria; Rickettsiales; Anaplasmataceae.